RNAcentral lists this ribosomal RNA (500 nucleotides) under uncultured bacterium. RNAcentral's name for it is "partial 16S ribosomal RNA". It matches the Rfam family "Bacterial small subunit ribosomal RNA", at positions 30 to 523 of the family's 1533-position model. The record is from RNAcentral.
AUUGAACGCUGGCGGCAGGCCUAACACUUGCAAGUCGAGCGGAUGAAGGGAGCUUGCUCCUUGAUUCAGCGGCGGACGGGUGAGUAAUGCCUAGGAAUCUGCCUAGUAGUGGGGGACAACGUUUCGAACGGAACGCUAAUACCGCAUACGUCCUACGGGAGAAAGUGGGGGCUCUUCGGACCUUACGCUAUUAGAUGAGCCUAGGUCGGAUUAGCUAGUUGGUAGGGUAAAGGCCUACCAAGGCGACGAUCCGUAACUGGUCUGAGAGGAUGAUCAGUCACACUGGAACUGAGACACGGUCCAGACUCCUACGGGAGGCAGCAGUGGGGAAUAUUGGACAAUGGGCGCAAGCCUGAUCCAGCCAUGCCGCGUGUGUGAAGAAGGCCUUCGGGUCGUAAAGCACUUUAAGUUGGGAGGAAGGGCUUACGGUUAAUACCUGUGAGUUUUGACGUUACCAACAGAAUAAGCACCGGCUAACUUCGUGCCAGCCGCCGCUGUAA